RNAcentral lists this ribosomal RNA (268 nucleotides) under uncultured bacterium. RNAcentral describes it as "partial 16S ribosomal RNA". It matches the Rfam family "Bacterial small subunit ribosomal RNA", at positions 793 to 1055 of the family's 1533-position model. The record is from RNAcentral.
GUCCACGCCCUAAACGAUGCCUGCUAGCUAUUUCGAGUAUCGACCCUCGGAGUGGCGUAGCUAACGCGUUAAGCAGGCCGCCUGGGAAGUACGGCCGCAAGGCUAAAACUCAAAGGAAUAGACGGGGACUCGCACAAGCGGUGGAACAUGAGGUUUAAUUCGACAGUAAACGAGGAACCUUACCAGGGUUUGAAAUGUUUGCGGAAGUUCGGCUGAAAGGCUGGGCGUCUCACAAGGACCGCAAGCACAGGUGCUGCAUGGUUGUCGU